Molecule: ribosomal RNA, 301 nt
Filed under: uncultured bacterium
Lineage: Bacteria
Description: partial 16S ribosomal RNA
Rfam family: Bacterial small subunit ribosomal RNA
Source: RNAcentral
CAGUAGCCGCGGUAAUACAGAGGGUGCGAGCGUUAAUCGGAUUUACUGGGCGUAAAGCGUGCGUAGGCGGCUUUUUAAGUCGGAUGUGAAAUCCCUGAGCUUAACUUAGGAAUUGCAUUUGAUACUGGGAAGCUAGAGUAUGGGAGAGGAUGGUAGAAUUCCAGGUGUAGCGGUGAAAUGCGUAGAGAUCUGGAGGAAUACCGAUGGCGAAGGCAGCCAUCUGGCCUAAUACUGACGCUGAGGUACGAAAGCAUGGGGAGCAAACAGGAUUAGAUACCCGAGUAGUCCCUGUCUCUUAUAC